Molecule: ribosomal RNA, 1098 nt
Filed under: Triticum aestivum (bread wheat)
Lineage: Eukaryota; Viridiplantae; Streptophyta; Magnoliopsida; Poales; Poaceae
Description: partial small subunit ribosomal RNA
Source: RNAcentral
AUGGCCCUCCGCGCGCUGGACAACACGCUGCCGGCCGCCGUGGCGGACCAGCGGCCCAAGAAGGCCGCCAAGCUGCUCCCCACGGCGCCCGCCGUCACCCGCUCCCCCACCGGCAGCGGCGGCAACGGCAAGAAGCAGCGCAACGACGAGAACUCUGCGCCGCAGACCAAGCCCGCGUCGCCCGUGGCGGCCGCGGCUGAGCCGGCCGUGGAGUACGUCCGGUCCGAGGACCUGCAGCCCGUGCCCGCGCCCAAGGCCCGCGCCGCCGGCCUCGUGGCGGGGCUCGACUCCAAGGACUGGGUCAAGGUCUGCGAGGCCCUCAACGACGCCCGCCGCCUCGCCAUCCACCACCCGGCCCUCCUCGCCCCCAUCCUGGAGAAGGUGGUGCUGGGGGUCGUGAAGACGAUGAAGAACCCGCGCAGCGCGGUGCUCAAGACCUCCGUGAUGGCCUGCACGGACGUCUUCGCGGCCUUCGGCAACCUCAUCUCCUCGGCCUCGGCCGACGCGUUCGACAAGCUGCUGCUGCAGCUGCUGCUCAAGGCGUCGCAGGACAAGCGGUUCGUGUGCGAGGAGGCCGAGAAGGCGAUGCGCGCCAUGGCCACAUCCAUGCCGCCCCUGCCCCUGUUGAAGAAGCUCAGGGCCUACGUCCACCACGCCAACCUCAGGGUCCGGGCCAAGGCCGCCGUUGCCAUGGCGCACUGCGCCGCCAGGAUGGACGUGGAGACGAUGAAGGAGUUCGGGCUGCCGGCGCUGCUGCAGGUGGCCGCGGAGCUGCUGAACGACCGGCUGCCGGAGGCGCGCGAGGCCGCCCGCAGCAUCGUCGGCUCCACGCACGCCGCCUUCUUCUUCAAGGAGGCUGCCGAAAAAGAGCAGGAGAAGAAGGAGAAUGAGCUAAAGGAGCAGGAGAAGGGGAAGAAGGAGCAAAAGGAGCAGGAGGAGGGGAAGAAGGAGAAGGAGGAAGAGGAGGAGAAGGAGAAGGAGAAGAAGGCAGAGCCGUCGGGCGUGGCGGCGGCGUGGGAGAGCCUGUGCGCGCUGAGCCUGUCGCCCAUCUCGGCGCAGGCCGUGGCCAAGAUCGUCUCGCAGUUGCAGGCACAAUAA